This 754-nucleotide long non-coding RNA is filed under the name Trifolium pratense (red clover). RNAcentral's name for it is "long non-coding RNA (TPRA_LNC002338)". The record is from RNAcentral. Lineage: Eukaryota; Viridiplantae; Streptophyta; Magnoliopsida; Fabales; Fabaceae.
UAGGUCAUUUCAGCGACACCAAUCAUCCUCAUUGAGUUUGUAUCCUGUAUCAAGCAUUUAUCAUUAUCAAACAUUAGUUGACAUUUCAAAAUUUUAGUAAGCUUUGGAACAGAAAUAAGAUUGAAUGUGAACUCAGGAAAAUAUAGGACAUCAGUUAAGUAAAAAUCUUUAUCAAACAAGAUAGUGCCAGCAAAAUUAGUAGACACAAUGGUACCAUUUGGUAAUGUGAUGUUAAUGGGAUUAAUUCUUUUCAUGCACUGAAAGAAGUGUUUAGAGUAACAUAUAGGAUCUGUUGCUCCUGUAUCUAAGAUAAAAGUUUCUGACUUAGGUAAAUUUGGGAGAGUACACAAAAUACCUGAACUGGAGGAGGGUUGUGAGGUUAUGUGAUUCACACUACGAGAUUGCAAUGUGCUAGAAUGUUGUAAAAGUGCUAACAAGGCCUUGUGUUGAUCUGGUGUGAAGAAUAGUUUCCCAGAAUCAGUAUCUCCUACUUCAUCAUCAUAGGCUAUUGAUUUAGCUUCAUCUUCAUUGGUAGUAGCACAAUUAUUCACCAUUCCAUUGUGUUGCAUAUGAGGUGGAAAUCCAUGGUUCUUGAAACAAUUCUCAACUAUGUGAUUAGUCAUGCCACAGUAAGUGCAGUAUUUUGAAUUUGAAUUCCUACCACGACCUCUUCCACCAUUGGUUCUACCUCCUCUACCACGAUUGGAUUGUGAUCUACCAGCAUAUUGAGAUGUGGUGGAUGCCAAGAUCUUGG